GACGAACGCUGGCGGCGUGCUUAACACAUGCAAGUCGAGCGGCGCGGCGAACGGGUGAGUAACGCGUGAGUAACUGCCCCCCUCUUCGGGAUAACAGUUGGCAACGGCUGCUAAUCCCGGAUAGUGGGGGGGGACUCGCGUCCUUUCAGCUUGUUGGUUGGGGAGUGGCCUACCAAGGGGACGACGGUUAGCCGGCCUGAGAGGGCGACCGGCCACAUGGGGCUGAGAUACGGCCCCAACUCCUACGGGGGGCAGCAGGGAGGAAUAGUGCACGAUGGGGGAACCCCUGAUGCAGCAACGCCGCGUGCGGGAUGACGGCCUUCGGGUUGUAAACCGCUUUCAGCCAUGACGCGGUAGUGGCAGAAGAAGCACCGGCUAACUACGUGCCAGCAGCCGCGGUAAUUC
RNAcentral lists this ribosomal RNA (405 nucleotides) under uncultured bacterium. RNAcentral describes it as "partial 16S ribosomal RNA". It matches the Rfam family "Bacterial small subunit ribosomal RNA", at positions 28 to 526 of the family's 1533-position model. The record is from RNAcentral.